UACAGAGGUCCCAAGCGUUGUUCGGAUUCACUGGGCGUAAAGGGUGCGUAGGUGGUUGUGCAAGUCUGAUGUGAAAUCUCCGGGCUCAACCCGGAAAUGGCAUUGGAAACUGCAUGGCUAGAGGGUUGGAGGGGGGACUGGAAUACUUGGUGUAGCAGUGUAAUGCGUAGAUAUCAAGUGGAACACCAGUGGCGAAGGCGAGUCCCUGGACAACACCUGACACUGAGGCACGAAAGCUAGGGGAGCAAACAGG
This 253-nucleotide ribosomal RNA is filed under the name uncultured bacterium. RNAcentral describes it as "partial 16S ribosomal RNA". It matches the Rfam family "Bacterial small subunit ribosomal RNA", at positions 524 to 776 of the family's 1533-position model. The record is from RNAcentral.